Molecule: long non-coding RNA, 3514 nt
Organism: Alosa sapidissima (American shad)
Lineage: Eukaryota; Metazoa; Chordata; Actinopteri; Clupeiformes; Clupeidae
Exons: 2
Source: RefSeq, a predicted model, not a curated record
GGCAUGCAUCUUUGAUUCCAAAGUAGAAAUCCUCUGUUCUAGCUCAGUACAUUUUCGGCAUGAUCUCCUGGGUCUCUGGCCGGAGGAGCGCAUUUUGUUUUAAUCCAACUUCAAGGUGAAUUGCCGUUCAGUUUUUGCUCGUUGACUUGGCUGGCUCAUUUAAAGUAAAAAACUAACCACUAAAGUUUCAGAUUUAAAUGUACUGGUUUCACUGUCUUUGCUAAACUAUCUUGUAAAUGAAAUAAAAGAAUGAAAAAGAGUGGAAAUUGCUAAAAGGAUAGGUGAAGCAGGAGCAGUGUGAAAUGCGUCCUACUCGCUUGAGUAGGAGUUCAGUAGGAGUUGAGAAAGACAUUUUUUUGAGUGACAUUUUUCUAAAAGGUAUUAAAUUAAUUUUAAGAAAAGCUCUGGUAUAGAUCAGGCUCAGUAUAGCCUAACUCUUAAAUUUGAGCUUGAAUUGAUUUAUUUAAUGAAAGUAGAUUACUGUGUCAUUAGCAAUGGCCAAUGUUAUGUAAAAAAGAUACACAAAACUAUUUAUUUUAACAAUUAGUUUUAAUCAGGCUUUGCUACAAAGGUAAAAGGUGCAUUCCAUGCAAACAUCACAGUCUCUUAGAGCUCAACAACUCUGCAUAGUGGCAUGACUGACCUUUUCUUUAGUUUUGCUGAAAUGCACAGUGGAUGUGUCAACCACAUGAAGCCCAUGGCAGCACUUUGUACGCUUUUUCUGAUACAUUAGAUAAUUUCCUCCUCCCCCUUUCUGUCUGCGCACAUUCACGGUCAGGCAUUAGGGCCCAGCGGGAAUGUGGUUAGGUUAAUGAGGUCUCACUUAAGCCUUAAAACGUCAUCUGUAAAUCACCUGGCACGAGACGCCGAGCCUAUUGUUCAUCCGAGUGCACCUGUGUCGUUGGCAAGCGUGGCCUACUUUGCCUCCAUACUGGAAUGUUUGUGGAUUGUAUCGGAUGUGCGUUUAAGUCUUUAUCUUCAUACUGGAUUGUUAAGUCAAGCAGCCUCGCUGGUGGUGUGAGCCCAGCUGUAACGCCGUGCCUGCAACGAGACGAGUUUCAUACUGGAUUGUAUCGGAUGUGCGUUUAAGUCUUUACCUUCAUACUGGAUUAAGUCAAGCAGCGUCGCUGUUGGUGUGAGCCCAGCUGUAACGCCUUACACGCAACGAGACGAGUUUCAGGGUUAAGUGAGUCAACCAAGGAACGAGUCUAUAUUACUACACGGUGGCUUGCCGCGGCCGUGGUCCUAAUUGGUGUUGCUACGAUAGAGGCUGGCACCACUGUUUUUCCCAUGUUGAUUUUAUUGUUCUUUAUUAAGUUUGUUUCUUAUUGAGCUCGCGUGAAUUUAGUGGGCUAUGUGCAAUAUCUGACUAGGCCUAGGCUUCUGACUAGUGUGUGCUGUCGCAAACUGAAGAGGCGUAUUGGGUUAGUGCAAUAUCUGAGGUGAUCUCUAAUGUGUGUCUAGUGAUUUGCAUUAGUUAGUGUUAAUAUUCAACGGGUUUGUGCAAUUAUAUCUGUGCAAUUAUCAGUGGCUAUAUGGGCUAAGUGCAAUAUCUUUCAGUCUUUGAUGUUAGUACACAGGUUAACUAAGGUGUGUGUGUGUGUGUGUGUGUGUGUGUGUGUGUGUGUAUAGCCAACCCCAGUUAUUCUCACCCUUGUGUGCUGUGUAUCUUGGGCACUCUGAAUAGAAGUGAUCUUCUCUUAAAGUGGCAGCUGCAUUUAUUUUCAUUUGUAGCCUACAUUAGGUGUUUUAUUUGAUUUUGUUUAGUGUUUGCUGUGAAACAUCUUUGCUGUGUGGUGUGUCUUAUUGGUUGGUACCAUCACUACAUCUCUGAGCCUCAGUACUAACUGUUGAGUACUGGUUGUAUUGAGCUGAAGUCCUAGACUAUUGCAAAUUUGCACAGUGUACCGUUUUGCACAAUAUUGAGAUUGCCUUUUGCACAUUGCCUACGAUUACCCUAACUGGUGGCGAUUUAUAGCCCAUUGUCUUCCUUGUGUAUAAAAACAACUUUGUGAAAUAAAUAAGAAUUUGAAUACAUGACAGCUGUAUCCUGAUCAGUUUAUUCUCUUAGUGAACUUGCUGGGGAAUUGACCUAGGUGUAUGGUAUAGGGCUCUUCCACCCUUCUAACCGGGAGUGGCGUAGUCACUGUUUAGAACAUUAUGCUACAGGCCACACACACAACUCCCAGUAAUACGCUCAACAGGCAGAAAUGAUGCUGGGUAUAUACACAUGUCUGUUCCCUGCAAGCUCCAAUAAUGUAACCCGACUUAAAACAUGCCCGACUCAAGACAUGUCUGUUCCCUGCAAGCUCCAAUAAUGUAAAAAGUUUAGAUUCAGAUUUCCUCUUCACACAAACACAAUGAGAAUUUCAGAGGCAAAUAUGUACUUUUCUGUACUAUAUUUUUUUAAAAAUCUAAAAAAAUUAUAUAAAAAAUAUGCAGUUUAAUAAAUGUGUAUAAAAAUAGAUAUUUUCCCAGGUAGUAGGCUACUUACACAGUCCAAAACAGUCUCAGUCCAUACGCCACAGCAGAGAGAACGUCACUUCAAUAAGUCCAACCAUUACGCCCCCACACCAGCAGAGGAGACAAUUCCUCUGGUGAGCAGUGGAAGACCCGCCCAUCACUUCCGCCAGUACACUGACUGGUUGUUUACAGGGUAAACAGUUAGUGUACAGCUUGCCGGGAAAUUCAAACAGAAAGGCUUGGAUCAUCUAGUGCCAGAUGAGCGGUUACUUCUUAAGGCUGGGCCAGGAGAAGGGACAUCAGCCGUGGGGAAAUCAGAGCCGUGGUAGCCUUCAGCCGUAGCCUACCUACCAGGGUUCUCUCGAAGACAAAUUGUAGGCGCUACGCACCGGAGCAAGGACUAAUAACCUCGCCUCAUAAUGAGGCCGUGACCUCCUAUUUGCUCGGAGCUAUGUCUGCAAGUCAUGACGCCAUUGCAUGUAAGUAACUUUUACUGUUUUCUCCUUCCUUGUUUAAUUUUACUGUGACUUACGUUGUUUUUUAUUCAUACCACUCAUUUAAUUGUUUUCCAUCUGCCUGUAAGACCUAUUACGAGACAGUAGGCUACGCAGGAGCUUCAGGUACAAACAACCAUGCAUCGCAAGCGGAAGCUGUGAAGAGUUUAGCUUAGAGUCAAUCGAGAAGAAAAUGGGUAGAUUUGUUUAUGGUGACUAUUUUUCAUGCAUUAGAUGUGGUGUUUUCAUAGCCUACACAGUGCAUCGUGCAGUGCUGAUUGUCUUUAUUGAUUGUUCUUCAGCUGCUGGAAGUGAGACAGACUCCGAACAGGGCAACGCACCACAGACGUCUUCAAAACGGACAGAAUUCAGACAGAAUGCCGCCAGUUACGAUACCUACUGCUCUGAGGUGACAAACAGCCACUUCACAGUGCUGUGAUUUUGGGCUUCUCAUUCGCUUGAGCUUUGAGCUUCCCAUUUGUUGUGAGGGCAGAUCUCACUUUGUAACCUAUACCUAGUUGUGUGUCUGUGCUAAUAAAGCUCUUUCUUUGAAUAAA